RNAcentral lists this ribosomal RNA (537 nucleotides) under Alternaria sp. NY8657b. RNAcentral describes it as "eukaryotic LSU rRNA". The stretch from base 179 to 332 matches the Rfam family "5.8S ribosomal RNA". The record is from RNAcentral. Lineage: Eukaryota; Fungi; Ascomycota; Dothideomycetes; Pleosporales; Pleosporaceae.
GGAGGGAUCAUUACACAAAUAUGAAGGCGGGCUGGAACCUCUCGGGGUUACAGCCUUGCUGAAUUAUUCACCCUUGUCUUUUGCGUACUUCUUGUUUCCUUGGUGGGUUCGCCCACCACUAGGACAAACAUAAACCUUUUGUAAUUGCAAUCAGCGUCAGUAACAAAUUAAUAAUUACAACUUUCAACAACGGAUCUCUUGGUUCUGGCAUCGAUGAAGAACGCAGCGAAAUGCGAUAAGUAGUGUGAAUUGCAGAAUUCAGUGAAUCAUCGAAUCUUUGAACGCACAUUGCGCCCUUUGGUAUUCCAAAGGGCAUGCCUGUUCGAGCGUCAUUUGUACCCUCAAGCUUUGCUUGGUGUUGGGCGUCUUGUCUCUAGCUUUGCUGGAGACUCGCCUUAAAGUAAUUGGCAGCCGGCCUACUGGUUUCGGAGCGCAGCACAAGUCGCACUCUCUAUCAGCAAAGGUCUAGCAUCCAUUAAGCCUUUUUUUCAACUUUUGACCUCGGAUCAGGUAGGGAUACCCGCUGAACUUAAGCAU